Peromyscus leucopus (white-footed mouse) is the source of this 459-nucleotide long non-coding RNA. RefSeq lists it as uncharacterized. NCBI's taxonomy places the organism in Eukaryota, Metazoa, Chordata, Mammalia, Rodentia, Cricetidae. The transcript has 2 exons. The record is from RefSeq and is a predicted model, not a curated record.
AUGGAUUAGCACCUCUGUGGGCCGAAGGGUCCCCUUUUAUAACACAGCAAUAAUAACAGGAAAUAGUCGGUGAGAUUUCUGGGGACAGGGGCGGUCAGAUAUGACCUCACUGUAAAGGGUGUGUCUAGGGCUUAGGAAGUGCUGACCCUUGUGAUGGGAAGAAAAGACCAAGCUUAAGGACACAGAAUUCUGCUGAUUUGGGCCUGGAGAAGCUGUGGACAGAGGGCUGAAGAAUCUGAGACCACAGAGGCAGACUCGGUGCCCACCUGGGAAGGCCACGGGGCUGACUGCACCAGUGCCCUGAGAAAAUGAGUCAGAAGAAAUCAAGGACUUCAGAGUUGAGUGAAAAUGAGAAUGAGAAUGCUGAGUGUUCAAAACUAUGGGACGAAAAGUCACCCCCCUCUUACGACUGAAUCCUUUCGUAAUCUUAUAUACUGCAAUAAAGUGUGUUCACUUGCG